RNAcentral lists this ribosomal RNA (429 nucleotides) under Pseudomonadota bacterium. RNAcentral's name for it is "Proteobacteria bacterium partial 16S ribosomal RNA". It matches the Rfam family "Bacterial small subunit ribosomal RNA", at positions 355 to 776 of the family's 1533-position model. The record is from RNAcentral. Lineage: Bacteria; Pseudomonadati; Pseudomonadota.
UGGGGAAUAUUGGACAAUGGGCGAAAGCCUGAUCCAGCCAUGCCGCGUGUGUGAAGAAGGUCUUCGGAUUGUAAAGCACUUUAAGUUGGGAGGAAGGGCAGUAAGCGAAUACCUUGCUGUUUUGACGUUACCGACAGAAUAAGCACCGGCUAACUCUGUGCCAGCAGCCGCGGUAAUACAGAGGGUGCAAGCGUUAAUCGGAAUUACUGGGCGUAAAGCGCGCGUAGGUGGUUCGUUAAGUUGAAUGUGAAAGCCCCGGGCUCAACCUGGGAACUGCAUCCAAAACUGGCGAGCUAGAGUAGGGCAGAGGGUAGUGGAAUUUCCUGUGUAGCGGUGAAAUGCGUAGAUAUAGGGAGGAACACCAGUGGCGAAAGCGACCACCUGGGCUCAUACUGACACUGAGGUGCGAAAGCGUGGGGAGCAAACAGG